RNAcentral lists this ribosomal RNA (305 nucleotides) under uncultured bacterium. RNAcentral's name for it is "bacterial SSU rRNA". It matches the Rfam family "Bacterial small subunit ribosomal RNA", at positions 337 to 659 of the family's 1533-position model. The record is from RNAcentral.
UCCUACGGGAGGCAGCAGUGAGGGAUAUUGGUCAAUGGGGGAAACCCUGAACCAGCAACGCCGCGUGAGGGAAGACGGUUUUCGGAUUGUAAACCUCUGUCCUCUGUGAAGAUAAUGACGGUAGCAGAGGAGGAAGCUCCGGCUAACUACGUGCCAGCAGCCGCGGUAAUACGUAGGGAGCAGGCGUUAUCCGGAUUUAUUGGGUGUAAAGGGUGCGUAGACGGGAAGGCAAGUUGGUUGUGAAAUCCCUCGGCUUAACUGAGGAACUGCAACCAAAACUAUCUUUCUUGAGUGCUGGAGAGGAA